RNAcentral lists this ribosomal RNA (253 nucleotides) under uncultured bacterium. Its description in RNAcentral is "partial 16S ribosomal RNA". It matches the Rfam family "Bacterial small subunit ribosomal RNA", at positions 524 to 776 of the family's 1533-position model. The record is from RNAcentral.
UACAGAGGGUGCAAGCGUUAAUCGGAAUUACUGGGCGUAAAGCGAGCGUAGUCGGUUAUUUAAGUCGGAUGUGAAAUCCCCGGGCUCAACCUGGGAAUUGCAUUCGAUACUGGAUAGCUAGAGUUCGGCAGAGGGAAGCGGAAUUUCUGGUGUAGCGGUGAAAUGCGUAGAUAUCAGGAGGAACACCGGUGGCGAAGGCGGGUCUCUGGGCCGAUACUGACGCUGAGGAGCGAAAGCGUGGGGAGCGAACAGG